ACGAACGCUGUGUGGCGUGGAUUAGGCAUGCAAGUCGAACGUGAAAGGAGGGGCAACUCUCCGAGUAAAGUGGCGAACGGGUGAGGAACGCGUGGGAAAUCUGCCUUCGAGUUGGGGAUAACCAUCCCAACGGGUGGCUAAUACCGAAUGUGAUCGUCGGGGGGCAUCCUCUGGCGAUUAAAGGUGGGGACCCGAAAGGGCCUGCCGCUCGAAGAUGAUCCCGCGUCCCAUUAGCUAGUUGGUGAGGUAACGGCCCACCAAGGCUACGAUGGGUAGCUGGUCUGAGAGGACGACCAGCCACACUGGGACUGAGAUACGGCCCAGACUCCUACGGGAGGCAGCAGUCGAGAGGCUUCGGCAAUGGGGGAAACCCUGACCGAGCGACGCCGCGUGGGGGAUGAAGGCCUUUGGGUUGUAAACCCCUGUCAAGUGGGACGAAACACUCUGAGGUGAUAAGCCGAGGGGUUUGACGGUACCGCCAGAGGAAGCUCCGGCUAACUCCGUGCCAGCAGCCGCGGUAAUACGGGGGGAGCAAGCGUUGUUCGGAAUUACUGGGCGUAAAGGGCGUGUAGGCGGCCUUGUAAGUCGGGGGUGAAAUCCACUGGCUCAACCAGUGACGUGCCUUCGAAACUGCUUGGCUUGAGUAUGGCAGAGGAGAGCGGAAUUCCAGGUGUAGCGGUGAAAUGCGUAGAUAUCUGGAAGAACACCGGUGGCGUAGGCGGCUCUCUGGGCCAAUACUGACGCUGAGGCGCGAAAGCCAGGGGAGCAAACGGGAUUAGAUACCCCGGUAGUCCUGGCCCUAAACGUUGGAUACUAGGUGUAGGAGGCAUCGACCCCUUCUGUGCCGCAGCUAACGCAUUAAGUAUCCCGCCUGGGGAGUACGACCGCAAGGUUGAAACUCAAAGGAAUUGACGGGGGCCCGCACAAGCGGUGGAGUAUGUGGUUUAAUUCGAUGCAACGCGAACAACCUUACCUACCCUUGACAUGUCGCAAAGCCUGCUGAGAGGCGGGUGUGCCCGAAAGGGAAUGCGAACACAGGUGCUGCAUGGCUGUCGUCAGCUCGUGUCGUGAGAUGUUGGGUUAAGUCCCGCAACGAGCGCAACCCUUGUCCCUAGUUGCUACGCAAGGGCACUCUAGGGAGACUGCCGGUGACAAACCGGAGGAAGGUGGGGAUGACGUCAAGUCCUCAUGGCCCUUAUGGGUAGGGCUUCACACGUCAUACAAUGGCCGGUACAGAGGGUAGCCAACCCGCGAGGGGGAGCCAAUCCCGUAAAAGCCGGUCGUAGUCCGGAUUGCAGUCUGCAACUCGACUGCAUGAAGUCGGAAUCGCUAGUAAUCGCGGAUCAGCAUGUCGCGGUGAAUACGUUCCCGGGUCUUGCACUCACCG
This 1387-nucleotide ribosomal RNA is filed under the name uncultured bacterium. RNAcentral's name for it is "partial 16S ribosomal RNA". It matches the Rfam family "Bacterial small subunit ribosomal RNA", at positions 29 to 1392 of the family's 1533-position model. The record is from RNAcentral.